GCCCAAGUGGUGGAACUGGUAGACACGCAGCCUUGAGGGGGCUGUAGCGCGAGCUGUGAGAGUUCGAAUCUCUCCUUGGGCACCA
This 85-nucleotide transfer RNA is filed under the name Gammaproteobacteria bacterium. RNAcentral's name for it is "tRNA-Leu". It matches the Rfam family "tRNA". Rfam says of the family: Transfer RNA (tRNA) molecules are approximately 80 nucleotides in length. Their secondary structure includes four short double-helical elements and three loops (D, anti-codon, and T loops). The record is from RNAcentral. RNAcentral also lists the same sequence under 1 other name. Lineage: Bacteria; Pseudomonadati; Pseudomonadota; Gammaproteobacteria.